GAGGGUGUAGCUCAGUAGUAUAUAGUGUGUGCUUGGCACGCAUGAGGUCCUAGGUUCAAUCCCCAGUACCUACU
Molecule: transfer RNA, 74 nt
Filed under: Camelus bactrianus (Bactrian camel)
Lineage: Eukaryota; Metazoa; Chordata; Mammalia; Artiodactyla; Camelidae
Also listed under: 1 other name
Rfam family: tRNA
About the family: Transfer RNA (tRNA) molecules are approximately 80 nucleotides in length.
Source: Rfam by way of RNAcentral